AGGUGGUGCAUGGUUGUCGUCAGCUCGUGUCGUGAGAUGUUGGGUUAAGUCCCGCAACGAGCGCAACCCUCGACCUUAGUUGCCAGCAUUCAGUUGGGCACUCUAAGGUGACUGCGGCUAAAAGUCGGAGGAAGGUGGGGAUGACGUCAAAUCAUCAUGCCCCUUAUGACCUGGGCUACACACGUGCUACAAUGGGCGGUACAAAGGGUCGCGAACCCGCGAGGGGGAGCCAAUCCCAAAAAAGCCGCUCUCAGUUCGGAUUGCAGGCUGCAACUCGCCUGCAUGAAGCCGGAAUCGCUAGUAAUCGCGGAUCAGCAUGCCGCGGUGAAUACGUUCCCGGGCCUU
RNAcentral lists this ribosomal RNA (345 nucleotides) under uncultured Paenibacillus sp. Its description in RNAcentral is "bacterial SSU rRNA". It matches the Rfam family "Bacterial small subunit ribosomal RNA", at positions 1036 to 1382 of the family's 1533-position model. The record is from RNAcentral. Lineage: Bacteria; Bacillati; Bacillota; Bacilli; Caryophanales; Paenibacillaceae.